Long non-coding RNA from Salmo trutta (river trout), 597 nucleotides. The record is from Ensembl. NCBI's taxonomy places the organism in Eukaryota, Metazoa, Chordata, Actinopteri, Salmoniformes, Salmonidae.
CCAUGGGGAGACCAGCCCUUAGAUGGGGGCGGAGACACAGUCAGUGUGAAGGAUGUAGGAAGCGAAGAGGAGCCGGACACCGAACCCAAUUCUGAACCCCAGAGUGAGUCUGAUGCGACUGACAGUGAACCACUGACUGUGAUCCAGCAGCCAGAAGUUACACCCCCUCAGCCUGUGGCAAACCAAGCAAUGAAAGCCAAACUGGCUCGCCUGUCCCUCUCCCUCCCUCCUCUCCCUCUUGCUCUCCCUCUCUCCUCCAGUCCCAAGGGAGGGUUCAGGGAGGGCGGGCUACAUCGAGACAGGAGUGGGAGACGGAGGGGUGCGUCCCCAGGAAGUGACCCCGAUGAGGAUGAGGAAGAAGAGCAGGAAGACGAAGGCUCCAGGAGGGUGAUUGUUGUCACGGAAACAGACGUUGGCAAAAGGGUGGGGCUCAGGAGUCUGCUGAAGUCGCCAAGGGAACCGAUAGACAAAGAGAAAGACAGAGGGAGAAACGUGUCCUUUUUGAUGAUGUCACUGUCUAUCUCUUUGAUCAGGUGUUUGUUUAGUUCCCCCCUACCCCCUCAUAUAUUGAGUCCCAUGUUACUCUUGGGCUUUUAA